RNAcentral lists this ribosomal RNA (575 nucleotides) under Pseudochromis sp. MBS1112001. RNAcentral's name for it is "partial 16S ribosomal RNA". It matches the Rfam family "Bacterial large subunit ribosomal RNA", at positions 1816 to 2597 of the family's 2925-position model. Lineage: Eukaryota; Metazoa; Chordata; Actinopteri; Pseudochromidae. The record is from RNAcentral.
CGCCUCUUGUCCUACCUAAAAUAAGAGGUCCUGCCUGCCCCGUGACCCUGUGUUUAACGGCCGCGGUAUUUUAACCGUGCAAAGGUAGCGCAAUCACUUGUUCUUUAAAUGAGGACCUGUAUGAACGGCAAGACGAGGGCUAGACUGUCUCUUUUUUCCAGUCAAUGAAAUUGAUCUUCCCGUGCAGAAGCGGGAAUAACUACAUAAGACGAGAAGACCCUGUGGAGCUUUAGACGACAGAGAUAGACCUUGUCCAAACCCCUUACUUAAAGGCCGAACCAAAAGGGCCCUUCUCUCAUGUCUUUGGUUGGGGCGACCGCGGGGAAAAAAAUAACCCCCAUGUGGACCUAAAAAACAAACUUUUUAAGACCUAAGAGCAACCACUCAAACCCCCAGAACUUCUGACCAAAAGAUCCGGCUAAGCCGAUCAACGAACCAAGUUACCCCAGGGAUAACAGCGCAAUCCUCUUCCAGAGGCCAUAUCGACAAGAGGGUUUACGACCUCGAUGUUGGAUCAGGACAUCCUAAUGGUGCAGCCGCUAUUAAGGGUUCGUUUGUUCAACGAUUAAAGUCCU